This is a small nucleolar RNA of Capsella rubella, 98 nucleotides long. It matches the Rfam family "Small nucleolar RNA snR60/Z15/Z230/Z193/J17". From Rfam's summary of the family: The members of this family belong to the C/D class of snoRNAs which contain the C (UGAUGA) and D (CUGA) box motifs. Most of the members of the box C/D family function in directing site-specific 2'-O-methylation of substrate RNAs. The family includes the yeast snoRNA snR60 (also known as Z15) and the corresponding human guide snoRNA U80 (SNORD80). The record is from Rfam. NCBI's taxonomy places the organism in Eukaryota, Viridiplantae, Streptophyta, Magnoliopsida, Brassicales, Brassicaceae.
AAGGGUCAAGUGAGGAUUAAUAAUGCAUAGUUCAGAUGAUAUAAUCUCCAUGAUUACAAUUCUGUAGCAUAGUCUUUCGCUCCUAUCUGAUGAUCCCU